GGCUUCUUUCACUUAGCACGCUGGCUUCAGGUCCCUCUGCAUUGUCGCAUGUGCCAGUGCUUUGCUCCUUUUUAUACCCGAGUAAUCGUCCACUGUGGAGUCAUCCUUUCAGCUGCUGAGAGAUGUGUGGGCAGUUUCCAUCUGCAGCCAUUAAUUCACAAAUCCUACAAUUCUAAGGUCUCAGAACCCUUGGAUCUGAAGAUUCUCAAAUGCUAAGGUUUCUAGAUGUUAGCAGACGAAGGUGUCAAGAUGCAUGGGAUCUACGAUGCAGAGUUCUGAGUGGGGAUAUGCGUCCCCCACCCCGACUCACCCCACGACACAUAUCAGUAACAGCCUCUGCAACUCUGCCUUGGCGCCCCCGCAUGUUCCAGGGGCAGCCAUGCUGAUGGAUUGCUCAGAACGGGCUGGAGCUGCAUCUCCACUUCUGCCCCCACAGUUCCUGCUGUAGCAGAUGCCCUUCCAGAUGCAAACUCCUACUCAUCCUUCAAAACCCAGCUAAAUGUCACUUCCUCUGGAAAGCCUUCACCACCUCUCUAGCAGGCAGUUGAGACCAGCUUACAUUUCCGACAGGCCCUCACUGCCCGGGAUUGGAGCUGCGGGCUCCUUGAGGGCAGGGAUUGUCCCUCUUUCAUCCUGAUUCCAUGCCAAGGCUUAUAGCAGGUGCUCAAUAAAUGCUUGCUGAGUGAUA
This 688-nucleotide non-coding RNA is filed under the name Pongo abelii (Sumatran orangutan). Lineage: Eukaryota; Metazoa; Chordata; Mammalia; Primates; Hominidae. The record is from RNAcentral.